Molecule: ribosomal RNA, 255 nt
Filed under: Halomonas gemina
Lineage: Bacteria; Pseudomonadati; Pseudomonadota; Gammaproteobacteria; Oceanospirillales; Halomonadaceae
Description: partial 23S ribosomal RNA
Rfam family: Bacterial large subunit ribosomal RNA
Source: RNAcentral
GGAGCAUGCAGGUCAUGUGACCGCGUACCUUUUGUAUAAUGGGUCAGCGACUUAUUUUCAGUGGCGAGCUUAACCGUAUAGGGGAGGCGUAGCGAAAGCGAGUCUUAACUGGGCGACCAGUCGCUGGAAAUAGACCCGAAACCGGGCGAUCUAUCCAUGAGCAGGUUGAAGGUUGAGUAACAUCAACUGGAGGACCGAACCAGGAUCUGUUGAAAAAGAUUUGGAUGACUUGUGGAUCGGAGUGAAAGGCUAAUC